GUUUCACUUGCUCCCAAAAAGGAAGGCAAGUUUUCCUGCUUCCAUGAUGAAGAGUGCAGGUAACUCCUUUCUGGAAUUUCAGCUCACUUCCAACAGGGAAGGCGAGUUUGAGUUUUUUCCUGCUUCAAAGAUGGUAGAGAGCAGUGUUCAGCCUGAGCCCCAUUCCUAGAUUCUGAAGGAAACAGACAGCACAACAACAACAGCCUCUCUCAGUCCUCACCCAAAUCUUUCUUCUGAAAUUGGAUGCUGAUGGCCACCAAACACGUUUUUAAAAGACCAGUGCAGUUUGAAGAACAGGUCAGAAAGUCUGCCUUCGCUGAAAACUCAUUCGCUGGGAGUUGCAAUGAGCAGAUAGGACACACCCAGAAUUCGCCUGAAGGGGAGGGCUGCAGCCAGGGCGGAGACCAGAUGUGUGGGCACAAAGAUGUAGGCGAAUAACAUGAACAUUGCUUCAUCUUUGUUCCACAAGUUUCUGAGACAGCACCGGAAACAUGUGGAAUUAACAACGUGGACACCUUAUGUGGCACAGCUGUUACGCUUUGAGGAAAGGCGAUUGCUGGUAAGUUCUUCAGGAAGAAACACCUUCAAAAUGGAAAACAGCUGACAUCAAUUAACUUCUGGCUUUUCUGUAAUUUUGUAUGCUGGCCUAUAAUCGUAAAGUAGCAAACAUUUUCAGGUACUGCAACACAUCACUCCGUCAAAACAUAUUACUCCACAAUGAUACAUACAAACUAUGAACGCAGUCAGAAUGAUUUUAUUGAAAUGUUUUAGUACAGUGUUAGAGGAUCUUAAAAU
RNAcentral lists this long non-coding RNA (795 nucleotides) under Homo sapiens (human). Its description in RNAcentral is "HSALNT0280232". The record is from RNAcentral. Lineage: Eukaryota; Metazoa; Chordata; Mammalia; Primates; Hominidae.